UACAGAGGGGGCAAGCGUUAUUCGGAAUUCUUGGGCGUAAGGGGCGCGUAGGCGGCCACCGCAAGUCGACUGUGAAAUCUCCGGGCUUAACCCGGAAAGGUCAGCCGAUACUGCGGGGCUAGAGUGCAGAAGGGGCAACUGGAAUUCUCGGUGUAGCGGUGAAAUGCGUAGAUAUCGAGAGGAACACCUGCGGCGAAGGCGGGUUGCUGGGCUGACACUGACGCUGAGGCGCGAAAGCUAGGGGAGCGAACGGG
RNAcentral lists this ribosomal RNA (254 nucleotides) under uncultured bacterium. RNAcentral's name for it is "partial 16S ribosomal RNA". It matches the Rfam family "Bacterial small subunit ribosomal RNA", at positions 524 to 776 of the family's 1533-position model. The record is from RNAcentral.